UGUUUCGGCUAGGGGGCCAUCCCGGCUUACCAACCCGAUGCAAACUGCGAAUACCGGAGAAUGUUAUCACGGGAGACACACGGCGGGUGCUAACGUCCGUCGUGAAGAGGGAAACAACCCAGACCGCCAGCUAAGGUCCCAAAGUCAUGGUUAAGUGGGAAACGAUGUGGGAAGGCCCAGACAGCCAGGAUGUUGGCUUAGAAGCAGCCAUCAUUUAAAGAAAGCGUAAUAGCUCACUGGUCGAGUCGGCCUGCGCGGAAGAUGUAACGGGGCUAAACCAUGCACCGAAGCUGCGGCAGCGACACUAUGUGUUGUUGGGUAGGGGAGCGUUCUGUAAGCCUGUGAAGGUGUCUCGUGAGGGAUGCUGGAGGUAUCAGAAGUGCGAAUGCUGACAUAAGUAACGAUAAAGCGGGUGAAAAGCCCGCUCGCCGGAAGACCAAGGGUUCCUGUCCAACGUUAAUCGGGGCAGGGUGAGUCGACCCCUAAGGCGAGGCCGAAAGGCGUAGUCGAUGGGAAACGGGUUAAUAUUCCCGUACUUGGUGUUACUGCGAAGGGGGGACGGAGAAGGCUAUGUUGGCCGGGCGACGGUUGUCCCGGUUUAAGCGUGUAGGUGUGUGUUCCAGGUAAAUCCGGUUCACUUUAACACUGAGGCGUGACGACGAGGCACUACGGUGCUGAAGCAACAAAUGCCCUGCUUCCAGGAAAAGCCUCUAAGCAUCAGGUAACAUCGAAUCGUACCCCAAACCGACACAGGUGGUCAGGUAGAGAAUACCAAGGCGCUUGAGAGAACUCGGGUGAAGGAACUAGGCAAAAUGGUGCCGUAACUUCGGGAGAAGGCACGCUGACACGUAGGUGAAGUGAUUUACUCACGGAGCUGAAGUCAGUCGAAGAUACCAGCUGGCUGCAACUGUUUAUUAAAAACACAGCACUGUGCAAACACGAAAGUGGACGUAUACGGUGUGACGCCUGCCCGGUGCCGGAAGGUUAAUUGAUGGGGUCAGCGCAAGCGAAGCUCCUGAUCGAAGCCCCGGUAAACGGCGGCCGUAACUAUAACGGUCCUAAGGUAGCGAAAUUCCUUGUCGGGUAAGUUCCGACCUGCACGAAUGGCGUAAUGAUGGCCAGGCUGUCUCCACCCGAGACUCAGUGAAAUUGAACUCGCUGUGAAGAUGCAGUGUACCCGCGGCAAGACGGAAAGACCCCGUGAACCUUUACUAUAGCUUGACACUGAACAUUGAGCCUUGAUGUGUAGGAUAGGUGGGAGGCUUUGAAGUGUGGACGCCAGUCUGCAUGGAGCCGACCUUGAAAUACCACCCUUUAAUGUUUGAUGUUCUAACGUGGACCCGUAAUCCGGGUUGCGGACAGUGUCUGGUGGGUAGUUUGACUGGGGCGGUCUCCUCCUAAAGAGUAACGGAGGAGCACGAAGGUUGGCUAAUCCUGGUCGGACAUCAGGAGGUUAGUGCAAUGGCAUAAGCCAGCUUGACUGCGAGCGUGACGGCGCGAGCAGGUGCGAAAGCAGGUCAUAGUGAUCCGGUGGUUCUGAAUGGAAGGGCCAUCGCUCAACGGAUAAAAGGUACUCCGGGGAUAACAGGCUGAUACCGCCCAAGAGUUCAUAUCGACGGCGGUGUUUGGCACCUCGAUGUCGGCUCAUCACAUCCUGGGGCUGAAGUAGGUCCCAAGGGUAUGGCUGUUCGCCAUUUAAAGUGGUACGCGAGCUGGGUUUAGAACGUCGUGAGACAGUUCGGUCCCUAUCUGCCGUGGGCGCUGGAGAACUGAGGGGGGCUGCUCCUAGUACGAGAGGACCGGAGUGGACGCAUCACUGGUGUUCGGGUUGUCAUGCCAAUGGCACUGCCCGGUAGCUAAAUGCGGAAGAGAUAAGUGCUGAAAGCAUCUAAGCACGAAACUUGCCCCGAGAUGAGUUCUCCCUGAGACUUUAGGUCUCCUGAAGGAACGUUGAAGACGACGACGUUGAUAGGCCGGGUGUGUAAGCGCAGCGAUGCGUUGAGCUAACCGGUACUAAUGAACCGUGAGGCUUAACCUUACAACGCCGAAG
Molecule: ribosomal RNA, 2050 nt
Filed under: Salmonella enterica subsp. enterica serovar Abony
Lineage: Bacteria; Pseudomonadati; Pseudomonadota; Gammaproteobacteria; Enterobacterales; Enterobacteriaceae
Description: partial 23S ribosomal RNA
Rfam family: Bacterial large subunit ribosomal RNA
Source: RNAcentral